Molecule: long non-coding RNA, 4038 nt
Filed under: Nicotiana benthamiana
Lineage: Eukaryota; Viridiplantae; Streptophyta; Magnoliopsida; Solanales; Solanaceae
Description: long non-coding RNA (NBEN_LNC029896)
Source: RNAcentral
CCCCGUUUCAUCUCUCAUCCCCUUUCAUCAGAGACCAAGUUUAAAGGCCUAAACUUCCCCCACACCCUAGAACCAUCUCACUCCCCUCAUCUCAAAUCCCCAUUCCGUUUGCUUCGAAUUCCCCUGGAACUUCUCGAAUUGAAAAUCGAAAGUGAACCCUAAUAAUCCCAAAUCAAGAUUCUGUUCUAAUUUGAUUUUAUUCAUGUGUGCUUUGUAAGAACACACGAUUAAUAUCAGAUAUGGCAAAAAAUUAGAGGAUUUGAAGACUCGGGAUAUGUUCUUCAUUGUCCGAGCUUUGGUACGUAUUUUUUUCUUUUUCUCUCUGGUUCAAUCUUUUCUUCAUUUUUCUUUUUCUAUUUUUCUUCUUCUUCUUUUUUUCCAGAUCACUCCUUAUUUUUCUAGGUUCUUCAGGGACGUUUUUAUAUGCAUGUUAGUCUUAAGUCAUUUUCUUUCUUUACUCAACGAAUUUAGUCUGUUUAAUUAGUUAGUUUGGAUUUGUUAAUUUAGUUAAUUAUUUAACACUCCAUUCAGUCUAGAUUUUUAAUUUGUUUGAAAUCCUUUAAGUGUUGUUUUCCUUUGCUUUCCAUGAGAUUACAAGAUGCCUUGGAUUAUUUUUUUGGGCUUUGGGUUUCCGACCCAUUUUCAAAAAGAAAGGCAGCCGUUCAUUUAGUCAAGGCAUUGGGUUGACUUGACCCAUACAUGUUUGGGUUCCGUGUAGUAAAAAAAGUAGGGGUAUGAGGAGUAUUCUAGGUAUUGGAAUAGGAAAUCUGGGUGUAACAGAUUAAGGAAGCUUCUAAGAAGCUGGGGUUGGGACUAAUGUGGGACUUUAUUUUUAAACUGAGAGUCUCUAAGCAAUAACAAAAACUGAAAAAGGUUGAAAAUACAAAUUUGAAUUCUUUUACGCUGCCAUGCCUAUAAAGGCACAUUUUCUUCUAGCUAAAUGAGAUUUUGAAGAGAGAAAUAUCCUGAUUUAGAAACGGCUGCUUUCUUUGAUUCAAUCCUGAAAUAACCUAGAAUUUCCUGUAGUUUCCUUGUGAAAACUAUCCAACAUUCGGCUUGGUUUUAGUUUACUGAUCCUUUUUGUUAGUUAAAAUCCUGAAAAGUUUCAACUUCUUGCAUCUGAUAGAAAAUUACUUGAGUUUGGGGUUUCAAAAUUUGCUUGAGUUGCUGGUUUCUUGUGAUGACCCGACCCGUCGCCAAGUGAGUUACUGCCCCAUUUUUUCUAUUUACUGCUUCUUUAUGCUUCAUUAUGAGUGUUUUGAGUGAACGAGUUGAUUUACAUUGAAUUGAGAAGGAAAUGGGACACUUAGUCUCUUUAAGGAAGGUUUGUUUGGAAAAGUCAACCGGACAUUGACUUAUGUGCUAGGAGGCUCGGAUGUGAAUUUUGAUGAUUUGGUUAGCUUCGGGGGAUAAUUUGUGACUUAGUAAUGUUAUCUGAUGUGAUUUUGGAGGUCCGGUGUAAAUUAGGCUUGAAUUGGCGAAGUUAGUAUUUUGGCGAAUUCCGGUUGGCAGGUGAGAUUUUUAUCCGAGGGUCAGAAUGGAAUUUCAAGAGUUUUGUAGCUUCGUUAGGUGAUUUGGGAUAUGUAUGAAAAAUUUUAGGUCAUUCGAAGGUGUUUUUCUUGGGUUUUUAAUCAAAUGCGUGUUUCGGAAGUUUUAGAAGAACAUAGGCUUGAAUCCGAUGUAAUUUGAUGGUUUUGGUUUUGUUUGUGGUGUUUUGAUGAUUGGAGGAAGUUUGAAUGAUGUUUUAGGAUGGGUUGGCUCUUUUGGUUGAGGUCCCCGGGGCCUCGGGUGAGUUUCCGAUGGCUAAACGGGAAGUUUUAAACUUGGAAAUGCAGCAGCAGUUGCAGGCCUCCCAAAUGCGAGAAAAGGGUUUGUAUUUGCGAAAAGGCUAGCCUGAGGUAGGGUUCACAUUUACGAUUGUUUGAUCGCAAUUGCGACCUUGGUAGGGUUUGCAUUUGCGAGAAAUGUGUCGCAUAUGCGACCUUGGAAGGGUCCGCAAUUGCGAGCCAGAUGUCGCAUUUGUGACCUUGGACGGAGAGGCUCACCUUCGCAAUUCAGAAGGUUUUGUCGCAUUUGCGAACCAGGUGUCGCAAAUGCGACAUCUGAGGGUUGUGUCCAGUUAUAAAAAAUCGAACUUAGCCAGUUUCCCUCACUUCCCACUUGGCUUUGGGCAAUUUGUGAGAGCUUUUGGACGGAUAUUGAAGAGGGUAUCUACUGGGAUUGAUUGGAGGUGAGUUCUAUGAACUAAAAACAUUAUUUAAUUGUAGAAUCAACCUAGAAAUUCAUGUAAUCUUAGCAAAAAUGGGGGAAGAACUAGGGCUUAUGUUUUGGUAUUGCAAAUUGGGAUUUGAGGGGUCAUUUGGACUCCGAUUUUGGUGUUCUUUAUAUGUAUAAACGCAUGGCGAGAUAAGGAACCGGUUUGUAUAAGUAUUUCUGAGUUUGAAGAAGUGAGCCCGGGGCUCGGGUUCAGCUAAUUUCAAGAUUUUUGCUAUUUUUUGAUUGCGUAUUGUUCCAUUGGCAUAUUGUGACGUAUUCUUUCUGGCUUUAUCGAAUUCAACAUGUGAGGAGGUCGACUUGAAAGGCAAAGGCAUAGCGAGCUAGGAUUUUGGCCAGCUUGAGAUGAGUAAUAGAUGUAAAUGAUGUCUUGAGCGUUUGAAAUCCCGUAUUUGCGCAUCGUUGUGUUAUAAUGAGAUGACUUGCACGCCAGGUAGUGACCGUGGGUUAGAGCACCGUUGGGGAUUGUGACUUGGUCCAUCCCGAUAAAUGAAUAUACUUUGUAUUUAACUGAAAUUCCUUAUUAUUAUUAUUAUGAUUUGAGAUGAUUCCUAUGUUUGAGCUUUGUGCCAAUUGAUUGAAUCCUCCAGGGAUUGCUACUACCGGUUUCUUACCUUUUUUAAGUAUUAUUGAACUUAGUCCUGGCAUUUAAUACUACUUUUCAAACUCAGCCAUUUUUUCUCAAACUUGAAACUUAAAUAAUGUUUCUAUGAAGUUUGGGCUGAAUAUUUAUAUAUCGUUGUGCCCGAGGGGCUUAUGUGAUUCUGGACUGAGCAUGGGAUCGGGCUGCGCGCCGCAGCAGUACUAUAUUGAUAUUGAUAUGAGACCGAAGGCCUAGUUGAUACUACGAGAUUGCUUAUAUUGCACUUGGGCCGUAAGGGGCCCCUCCCGGAGUUUGCACACCUCAGUCAGCGCCGUCGAUGAUAAACAAAAGGGAGCGCGCUGCACGCUGCAGCAGGUACUAGAGAGUACCGGACUAUGUGUUGCAUUUCAUUUUUGCAUGUCAUUUACUUACUAUUUGUUGUAGCAUUUCCAUGAUUGUUGUUAUUAGUUUACUGAUUGACUUCUAUCUGGUUCAGGUUGCUGUAUUUAUAGAAUUACUUUGUGCCUAUUCGGGAUUUCUUAUUCUCAGCAUUUAUUUAUGUUUAUUAUUAACUGGGUCGGAGUACUCACAUUACUCCCUGCACCUUGCGUGCAGAUCCAUGUACAUCUGAGGUUGAGUUAGGAUUUCUCUACCGAGCAGUUUAUUCGGGAGCAUCAAGGUAGCUGUAUGACGUCUGUAGUCCUGAUCUUCCUUCUACCUUAUUUGCUUUAUUGUCGCAUUUCUAUAGAACGAUAUGUAGUAGAUUGAUACUCGGGUAUUAGAGGCUCAGACUUAUGACACCGGAUUCUUCGGGCUGUGUAGUUUACUCGAGAUUCUGCAUGUUUUAGUUCUUAUUUCAGACUUUCAAUAUUAUGAUUUAGUAAAUUAUCUGUGUUAAUUAACUCCUGAUUGGUAUAAAAUGGUUAAGGUUAUUGAAUUGGUCGGGCUUUCCUAGAAGUGUGGUGGGAGCCAUCACGACAGGGGUUGGGGCCGUGACAAGUUGGUAUUAGGGCCUAGGUUACUUGGUCUCGCGAGUCAUGAGCCGGUUUAGUAGAGUCUUGCGGAUCGAUGCGGAAACGUCUGUACUUAUCCUCGGGAGGCUGCAGAACCUUUAGGUAAACUUCACAUUCUUGAAAUUCUUGUCGUGCGGCUUUGUUGAACUGAGAAAUAAACUUCUAAUA